AUAGAUACCCGGGUAGUCCACGCCGUAAACGAUGAGUGCUAAGUGUUGGGGGGUUUCCGCCCCUCAGUGCUGCAGCUAACGCAUUAAGCACUCCGCCUGGGGAGUACGGUCGCAAGACUGAAACUCAAAGGAAUUGACGGGGGCCCGCACAAGCGGUGGAGCAUGUGGUUUAAUUCGAAGCAACGCGAAGAACCUUACCAGGUCUUGACAUCCCGGUGACCACUAUGGAGACAUAGUUUCCCCUUCGGGGGCAACGGUGACAGGUGGUGCAUGGUUGUCGUCAGCUCGUGUCGUGAGAUGUUGGGUUAAGUCCCGCAACGAGCGCAACCCUUAUUCUUAGUUGCCAUCAUUCAGUUGGGCACUCUAAGGAGACUGCCGGUGAUAAACCGGAGGAAGGUGGGGAUGACGUCAAAUCAUCAUGCCCCUUAUGACCUGGGCUACACACGUGCUACAAUGGACGGUACAAACGGUUGCCAACCCGCGAGGGGGAGCUAAUCCGAUAAAACCGUUCUCAGUUCGGAUUGUAGGCUGCAACUCGCCUACA
This 544-nucleotide ribosomal RNA is filed under the name uncultured bacterium. RNAcentral describes it as "bacterial SSU rRNA". It matches the Rfam family "Bacterial small subunit ribosomal RNA", at positions 778 to 1320 of the family's 1533-position model. The record is from RNAcentral.